AGCAGUAGCCGCGGUAAUACGUAGGUGGCAAGCGUUGUCCGGAAUUAUUGGGCGUAAAGCGCGCGCAGGUGGUUAUGUAAGUCUGAUGUGAAAAUGCAGGGCUCAACUCUGUAUUGCGUUGGAAACUGUGUAACUAGAGUACUGGAGAGGUAAGCGGAACUACAAGUGUAGAGGUGAAAUUCGUAGAUAUUUGUAGGAGUGCCGAUGGGGAAGCCAGCUUACUGGACAGAUACUGACGCUGAAGCGCGAAAGCGUGGGUAGCAAACAGGAUUAGAUACCCCGGUAGUCCCUGUCUCUUAUACA
RNAcentral lists this ribosomal RNA (303 nucleotides) under uncultured bacterium. RNAcentral's name for it is "partial 16S ribosomal RNA". It matches the Rfam family "Bacterial small subunit ribosomal RNA", at positions 507 to 808 of the family's 1533-position model. The record is from RNAcentral.